Molecule: ribosomal RNA, 198 nt
Filed under: uncultured bacterium
Lineage: Bacteria
Description: partial 16S ribosomal RNA
Rfam family: Bacterial small subunit ribosomal RNA
Source: RNAcentral
UCGGACUGCAGGCUGCAACUCGCCUGCACGAAGCCGGAGUUGCUAGUAAUCGCGGAUCAGAAUGCCGCGGUGAAUGCGUUCCCGGGUCUUGUACACACCGCCCGUCACACCAUGGAAGUUGGGGGUGCCCAAAGCCGGCAGGGAAAUAUGCUGUCUAAGGCAAAACCAAUGACUGGGGUGAAGUCGUAACAAGGUACC